GAUGAACGCUGGCGGCGUGCCUAAUACAUGCAAGUCGAGCGAACAGACGAGGAGCUUGCUCCUCUGACGUUAGCGGCGGACGGGUGAGUAACACGUGGAUAACCUACCUAUAAGACUGGGAUAACUUCGGGAAACCGGAGCUAAUACCGGAUAAUAUAUUGAACCGCAUGGUUCAAUAGUGAAAGACGGUUUUGCUGUCACUUAUAGAUGGAUCCGCGCCGCAUUAGCUAGUUGGUAAGGUAACGGCUUACCAAGGCAACGAUGCGUAGCCGACCUGAGAGGGUGAUCGGCCACACUGGAACUGAGACACGGUCCAGACUCCUACGGGAGGCAGCAGUAGGGAAUCUUCCGCAAUGGGCGAAAGCCUGACUGAGCAACGCCGCGUGAGUGAUGAAGGUCUUCGGAUCGUAAAACUCUGUUAUUAGGGAAGAACAACUGUGUAAGUAACUAUGCACGUCUUGACGGUACCUAAUCAGAAAGCCACGGCUAACUACGUG
Molecule: ribosomal RNA, 497 nt
Filed under: uncultured bacterium
Lineage: Bacteria
Description: partial 16S ribosomal RNA
Rfam family: Bacterial small subunit ribosomal RNA
Source: RNAcentral